Molecule: ribosomal RNA, 402 nt
Filed under: Triticum aestivum (bread wheat)
Lineage: Eukaryota; Viridiplantae; Streptophyta; Magnoliopsida; Poales; Poaceae
Description: partial small subunit ribosomal RNA
Source: RNAcentral
AUGAAUUUCUUAAUUUGGAACUGCCGGGGUGGGGGGAACCUCCGGACAGUUCGCGGGGUUUUGGCCCUCUCAAAAGCCAAUUCCCCGAGGCUGGUUUUCGAAUGUGAAACUAGACAAGCCUCAAGCAGAAUGGAGAAACUGAAGUGGAGACUAGGGUUGAAGGGUUUUGCUGGUGUCUCUAGUGAGGGCCUCAGUGGUGGUUUGGCUCUGUAUUGGGAUGAGAAUUUGCAAGUUACUGUCUUGAAUUCGUGGGCACGGUAUAUUGAUGUGCGCGUGGUCGAUAAGGUAAAUGAUUUGAUUUGGAGGACGACCUUGUGUAUGGAGAACCGCGUGUGGAGAACCGGCACCGUAUGUGGACUCAUCUUACUAAUUUGCGGUCGAUCUCUACGGAACCAUGGAUAG